Magnolia sinica is the source of this 1795-nucleotide RNA transcript. It is a transcript of the gene named transcription factor PCL1-like, with no coding region annotated. The record is from RefSeq and is a predicted model, not a curated record. The transcript has 3 exons. Lineage: Eukaryota; Viridiplantae; Streptophyta; Magnoliopsida; Magnoliales; Magnoliaceae.
UAAUAUCAGGUCCACAAGUCUCACCGUCCAGAUUACAUAUAAGAAUGCCAUGUGCACUGAAUAAUUUGUGGCUAACGCACAUUUUAGUCUACGGAUGCACUUUUUCUCCUUACCUAAAUAUCUCUCUCGGUCUGACCUUUUUCGAAAUCGAAUCGUCCGCUCCGGCGUGUCGUAACGGCCGAAACUUCAUAACCCGAUCCGCUACCAUCAUAUCCCAUCAGAAGGUACAAUGGAAGAAGAAGAACACCGACAACAACACCAAGAACAAACGAGCGAUUACGUCAUGAUCACCCACAGCGAAACGGAACAACCACAACAAUACCAGAACCGAGUCCUGGAAUGGGAGAUCGGCCUGCCGUCCUCGGGCGAUCUGAUGCCUCUUUCUCAGCUGUUGAUCCCGCCCGAGCUUGCAUCUGCCUUCAGCAUUACCCCUGAGCCCCACCGUACGAUCCUGGACGUCAAUCGCGCAUCCCAGAACACGAUCUCCAGCCUCCGCUGCUCGAUCCCUACCUACCCAUCCGCCAACAACCUCAAAUCCCUCCCUCCUUUCGAAUCCCGCCUCGAUCCUGACGACGAUGAGGCCAUGAAUUCGCCAAGGGACGGGUCCGAUUCGAGGAAAGUGCGGAGGCUAAUGGAGACUGCCGAAGAGGCCGAUUCCGCACUCCGCAGUGAGAAUUCAGAAGACGCCGCUGCCCGCACCCUCAAGAGGCCGCGCCUCGUCUGGACGCCGCAGCUCCACAAGCGGUUUGUCGAUGUCGUGGCCCACCUCGGGAUCAAGAGCGCUGUCCCGAAGACGAUCAUGAAUAUGAUGAACGUUGAGGGGCUGACGCGCGAGAACGUCGCUAGCCACCUGCAGAAGUACAGGCUCUACCUGAAGAGAAUGGAUGGGUCGUUGGAUGGUGGUGCGCCGUCCUCGUCUUCGGCCGAUCACCAGCUGUUUGCUUCGACGCCCGUGCCGCAGAGCCUGCAUGAGCAGGGGCCUGUUCCAAUGCCGUAUGGCCCGCCGCUGAUGCCUAUGCCUGUUCUAGGGAUGGGGGCAAAUGGUCAUGGGCACAUGGCGGGGAUGCCUGUGAGCGGCCCAGGUGGUGGGAUCCCUUAUCCCAGGUUUGAUUCACAUCCGUAUAACAUGUUUGGCUCGAUGAUGCCGUUUCAUCACGGAACUCCGAGUGAUAAAUGAAAAUACUGUGAAUUGCAAUUGACAACACCUGCAAGAGAUUAGGCAGCACCCAUAUACCUCAUGCAUGGAAUGGAAGCAUGAUCUUAUAAAGAUGCAGAUACAGUUGCAAAGAGAAGAAAAAAGAUGCAGGCAUGCUCAGUAAUUUUCAUGCGUAUACCUGAAAGAAGCCCCAGACUCUGCAAGCCAUAUCAAGCUUUCUGAGCUCAUCCUCAUGCCUGCUGGAAAGCAAGGAUAGAUCAAUGACAGGUAUUUCAGACGAAAGGGGAGACAGAUCCAAGCUGUCGGGCUUGUCCUCGGGGUUUCUUAUGUGUCUAUCAGGAAUGUAUGUGGGAUCCCUCCUUACCAUCUCUUGAACAUUGUCUACAGGGUGGAUGGGGCAUAGCUCAAAAUCUCAAUGAUCUGGCAAGCCUAAUUGCUUGAUUGGUGGCCAUCAAAUGUACAGCCUGGGUCCAAAUUCAUUCAGCGAAAUAAGACGGUUAAGAUCAUCCCAUCAUUUGAUUCUUACAGUUAUGCCACAUCCAGAAUAAAGCCCACAAUCUCGACGAUCUGGAUUGGCAUGCGUGUAGCUGUAAGUAUCCUACUGUUUAUGAUUUAUGAAUAGAAAGAAUUUGGCUGAUA